CGAACGCUGGCGGCGUGCCUAAGACAUGCAAGUCGUACGAGAACGCCAUCUUCGGAUGGUUAUUAGAGUGGCAAACGGGUGAGUAACGCGUGGGUAACCUGCCUCGAGGUCUGGGAUAACUCCGGGAAACUGGGGCUAAUACCGGAUAAGACCACGAGCUCUUCGGAGCUUGCGGGAAAAGGUGGCCUCUUCUUGAAAGCUACCGCCACGAGAUGAGCCCGCGUCCCAUUAGCUUGUUGGUGAGGUAACGGCUCACCAAGGCUCCGAUGGGUAGCUGGUCUGAGAGGACGAUCAGCCACACUGGAACUGAGACACGGUCCAGACUCCUACGGGAGGCAGCAGUCGGGAAUUUUGGGCAAUGGGCGCAAGCCUGACCCAGCGACGCCGCGUGAGCGAUGAAGGCCCUCGGGUCGUAAAGCUCUGUCGGAAGGGAAGAUGGGAGCGAAGGCAAAUAGCCUAGCUCUUGACGGUACCUUCAAAGGAAGCGCCGGCUAACUCCGUG
This 502-nucleotide ribosomal RNA is filed under the name uncultured bacterium. RNAcentral's name for it is "bacterial SSU rRNA". It matches the Rfam family "Bacterial small subunit ribosomal RNA", at positions 30 to 507 of the family's 1533-position model. The record is from RNAcentral.